UGGGGAAUUUUGGACAAUGGGCGAAAGCCUGAUCCAGCCAUGCCGCGUGAGUGAAGAAGGCCUUCGGGUUGUAAAGCUCUUUUAGUCGGAAAGAAAGAGUUGCAAUGAAUAAUUGUGAUUUAUGACGGUACCGUCAGAAAAAGCACCGGCUAACUACGUGCCAGCAGCCGCGGUAAUACGUAGGGUGCGAGCGUUAAUCGGAAUUACUGGGCGUAAAGGGUGCGCAGGCGGUUUUGCAAGUCAGAUGUGAAAGCCCCGGGCUUAACCUGGGAAUUGCGUUUGAAACUGUAAGGCUAGAGUGUAGGAGAGGGGAGUGGAAUUCCAUGUGUAGCGGUGAAAUGCGUAGAGAUGUGGAAGAACACCGAUGGCGAAGGCAGCUCCCUGGGUUGACACUGACGCUCAUGCACGAAAGCGUGGGGAGCAAACA
This 427-nucleotide ribosomal RNA is filed under the name uncultured beta proteobacterium. RNAcentral's name for it is "bacterial SSU rRNA". It matches the Rfam family "Bacterial small subunit ribosomal RNA", at positions 355 to 774 of the family's 1533-position model. Lineage: Bacteria; Pseudomonadati; Pseudomonadota; Betaproteobacteria. The record is from RNAcentral.